GCAUUGGUGAUUCACUGGUAGAAUUCUCACCUUCCAUGCCAGAGGCCCGGGUCCAAUUUCUAGCCAAUGCA
Molecule: transfer RNA, 71 nt
Filed under: Loxodonta africana (African savanna elephant)
Lineage: Eukaryota; Metazoa; Chordata; Mammalia; Proboscidea; Elephantidae
Rfam family: tRNA
About the family: Transfer RNA (tRNA) molecules are approximately 80 nucleotides in length. Their secondary structure includes four short double-helical elements and three loops (D, anti-codon, and T loops).
Source: Rfam by way of RNAcentral